ACCUGCAUGCCAUACCAGUAUCUCUACAUAUUUGGUUAUGAGAAUAAUCAACACAUAUGGCAUACAACGACCUAUACUUGAUAUUGCUAUUGUCUUAGUAAUAGCGUAUUAUUUGGUCAUGAAAUAGUUUAAGGACUACGUGAUAAAUCUUUCUUUAUCGAUCAAAAUAAUCCUGAAGACUUCACAACACAGGAGUUCAUUAGAAGAUGUAACUUUGUGAUAAAAAAAAUCAAAUAACUUUUAUUAUUAUUCAAUUCAUAUACAUUUAUUAUUAGCACAAUCGUCAAACGAUUAGCUUUAGGAUAUAUUUUC
Molecule: long non-coding RNA, 312 nt
Filed under: Elaeis guineensis (African oil palm)
Lineage: Eukaryota; Viridiplantae; Streptophyta; Magnoliopsida; Arecales; Arecaceae
Description: long non-coding RNA (EGUI_LNC046397)
Source: RNAcentral